Molecule: transfer RNA, 67 nt
Filed under: Lixus subtilis
Lineage: Eukaryota; Metazoa; Arthropoda; Insecta; Coleoptera; Curculionidae
Description: tRNA-Val
Source: RNAcentral
CAAGUUAAAGCUUUAAAAAGCAUUUUAUUUACAUUAAAAAGAUUAUUAUAAUUAUAAUAUAGCUUGA